CCUACGGGGGGCAGCAGUGGGGAAUAUUGCACAAUGGGGGGAACCCUGAUGCAGCGACGCCGCGUGGGUGAGGAAGUACUUCGGUAUGUAAAGCCCUAUCAGCAGGGAAGAAAAUGACGGUACCUGACUAAGAAGCCCCGGCUAACUACGUGCCAGCAGCCGCGGUAAUACGUAGGGGGCAAGCGUUAUCCGGAUUUACUGGGUGUAAAGGGAGCGUAGACGGCGUGCCAAGUCUGAUGUGAAAGGCCGGGGCUCAACCCCGGGACUGCAUUGGAAACUGGCAUGCUGGAGUGCCGGAGGGGCAAGCGGAAUUCCUAGUGUAGCGGUGAAAUGCGUAGAUAUCAGGAGGAAUACCGUUAGCGAAGGCGGCAAUCUGGCUGGAAACUGACGCUGAGGUGCGAAAGCGUGGGUAGCAAACAGGAUUAGAUACCCUUGUAGUC
Molecule: ribosomal RNA, 440 nt
Filed under: uncultured bacterium
Lineage: Bacteria
Description: partial 16S ribosomal RNA
Rfam family: Bacterial small subunit ribosomal RNA
Source: RNAcentral